AUGUAAACUUGUUUGGAAGGUUUAGAGUAAGAUUUUUGAUUUGUUAAGAAAAAUAAUUUUUAAUAGUUGACUGAUUAGUAUGGUAAAUUUAGAUUGAGACUAUAGCUUAAAAGUACCGUGAGGGAAAGUUUAAAUAUAAUGAAAAAUUUAAUUUUGAAAAAGAAGAUAUAAAGUUUUGUACCUUUUGUAUCAGGGAAGAUUUAAAUUUUCUAGUUAAAUUAGGUAUCCCGAAAAAAGAAUAGCUAAAAAAUUAAAAUUGUCUUAGUCGAAAAUAAGUUCUCAAUAAUUUUUUAGUGGUGAAAUAUUAGUCGAGUCUUUUAAUAUCUGGUUAUUUCAGAAAAAAAUUUAAUUUUGUCUGAGUAUAAUAAAAUUAACUCAGGUAAAUAACUGGAGGGAAAAGCUUCUAGUUAGAUAAUUGAACAUAAAGUUAUAUAACUGAAUUUUAUUUUAACUAAGCUUAGAAGUAGCUAUGUUAAUAAAGUGUUUUAACUAAAAUUUUUUAAUAGUUGAUAUUUAUAUGAUUUUUGUUUGUUAGUAUGAAAUUUUGAUAAUAAAUGUUAUGUUAUUGGGAAUAAUGAUCUUAUUAGUAUAAUUGUCUUUGUUAGGAAAUUGAUUAAAUAAAAUAAAAAUUGCACUUUGUUAACAAAUUGAGGAUGCAAUAAAGGAACUCGGCAAAAUAAUUUCUGCCUGUUUAUCAAAAACAUGUCUUUAUGAAAGUUUAUAUAAAGUCUAGCCUGCCCAGUGAUGUUUAAAUUUAACGGCCGCGGUAGUAUGACCGUGCUAAGGUAGCAU
Molecule: ribosomal RNA, 792 nt
Filed under: Panulirus ornatus
Lineage: Eukaryota; Metazoa; Arthropoda; Malacostraca; Decapoda; Palinuridae
Description: partial 16S rRNA
Source: RNAcentral